AAUUUGUUUGUAAUCUCCAAGAUGCAAAAACCAUUCUGUGAGGAAUCCUGUCAACUGAGCAGCAAAUUCUCUAAGACUUUAUUCCCUCUAUGCUCAAGGUUUAGUCAUUUAUAAAUCAACCCAUGCUCCAAAAUCAAAUAUUCACCUCUCUAUUGUGUAGCAGGGAUAUCAUCAAAUGUAAAUCAAGGUCCACCACUAGAACGACUAUA
RNAcentral lists this unclassified non-coding RNA (209 nucleotides) under Hevea brasiliensis (rubber tree). Lineage: Eukaryota; Viridiplantae; Streptophyta; Magnoliopsida; Malpighiales; Euphorbiaceae. The record is from RNAcentral.